AGCUGCACAUUCCUUGGAUAGCAGCAAAGGAUUCGGCUGUCUAGACACAACCAAAUAAGAGCACAAAGCUUACUUUGAGCAAAUCACCAACUACUUCUGCUGGCCAACAAUGGGCAGAAAGGUUCUCUGAUCCCCUUAGCUGUGGUGCAUGGGAGUAAGUCCAGGCUCUACAUGAAGAACUGUGAGGGUGUCAAAACCAACAAAACAGAUUAAAUACUAACACCAGGUAAAAAAAAGUAUCUGUGUUUUCUGUGUUUUGUAAUUCUAGUUUUUUAUUUUGAAAUUUGUCAUGAAUUCUUGUCUGUUAGGGUGGGAUUUUUGUUCAUUUGUUUCAAAUUGCUGUAAAUAGUGUUUUGUUAAUAUAUUUGUUUUGUUUAUGGGAGGGUUUCAAUAGUAUUAUUAUUGUUAUCCAAGUUGUAUAGUGCUUUCAUAGAGCUCCUAUAAUUGCAGUCUGACAAAUUUUGUAUCCCAA
Molecule: long non-coding RNA, 472 nt
Filed under: Anas platyrhynchos platyrhynchos (common mallard)
Lineage: Eukaryota; Metazoa; Chordata; Aves; Anseriformes; Anatidae
Description: lncRNA (ENSAPLG00000017388.1)
Source: RNAcentral